This 496-nucleotide ribosomal RNA is filed under the name uncultured bacterium. RNAcentral's name for it is "partial 16S ribosomal RNA". It matches the Rfam family "Bacterial small subunit ribosomal RNA", at positions 28 to 506 of the family's 1533-position model. The record is from RNAcentral.
GAUGAACGCUGGCGGCGUGCCUAAUACAUGCAAGUCGAGCGAACAGACGAGGAGCUUGCUCCUCUGACGUUAGCGGCGGACGGGUGAGUAACACGUGGAUAACCUACCUAUAAGACUGGGAUAACUUCGGGAAACCGGAGCUAAUACCGGAUAAUAUAUUGAACCGCAUGGUUCAAUAGUGAAAGACGGUUUUGCUGUCACUUAUAGAUGGAUCCGCGCCGCAUUAGCUAGUUGGUAAGGUAACGGCUUACCAAGGUAACGAUGCGUAGCCGACCUGAGAGGGUGAUCGGCCACACUGGAACUGAGACACGGUCCAGACUCCUACGGGAGGCAGCAGUAGGGAAUCUUCCGCAAUGGGCGAAAGCCUGACGGAGCAACGCCGCGUGAGUGAUGAAGGUCUUCGGAUCGUAAAACUCUGUUAUUAGGGAAGAACAAAUGUGUAAGUAACUAUGCACGUCUUGACGGUACCUAAUCAGAAAGCCACGGCUAACUACGU